AUUGAACGCUGGCGGCAGGCCUAACACAUGCAAGUCGAACGAGUGGCGGACGGGUGAGUAAUGUCUGGGAAACUGCCCGAUGGAGGGGGAUAACUACUGGAAACUGUAGCUCAUACCGCAUACCAUCGGAUGUGCCCCGCUGGGAUUGGCUAGUAGGUGGGGUAACGGCUCACCUAGGCGACUAUCCCUAGCUGGUCUGAGAGGAUGACCAGCAACACUGGAACUGAGACACGGUCCAGACGCCUACGGGAGGCAGCAGUGGGAAAGAGUGCACAAUGGGCGCAAGACUGAUGCAGCCAUGCCGCGUGUAUGAAGAAGGCCUUUGGGUUGUAAAGUACUGUCAGCGAGGAGGCGUUACUCGCAGAAGAAGCAUCGGCUAACUCCGUGACAGCAGCCGCGGUAAUAC
This 406-nucleotide ribosomal RNA is filed under the name uncultured bacterium. RNAcentral describes it as "partial 16S ribosomal RNA". It matches the Rfam family "Bacterial small subunit ribosomal RNA", at positions 30 to 526 of the family's 1533-position model. The record is from RNAcentral.